Molecule: non-coding RNA, 92 nt
Organism: Homo sapiens (human)
Lineage: Eukaryota; Metazoa; Chordata; Mammalia; Primates; Hominidae
Source: RefSeq, marked provisional
UAUUCUUUAUAUCUUACAGGCAAAAAAGAUACAACCCAUGAGUGCUUACUUUUUCGGGUUGUACCUUUUUUGCCUGUAAGCCAUAAAGAGUA